Anas platyrhynchos (mallard) is the source of this 415-nucleotide non-coding RNA. The record is from RefSeq and is a predicted model, not a curated record. Lineage: Eukaryota; Metazoa; Chordata; Aves; Anseriformes; Anatidae.
GGAUUGGAGAAGAGGUUGCAGAUGAUCAAGGAGCGACACGUGCAGGGAUGGCUUGAAAAGGGCAAAGAGGUGCCCGAAGCCCUGUCUUGUGUAGCCUGAGCACGCCUCGCUGAGUAUGCAGCUUGAUUUCCAGCAGUUCUGAAAACUGUGUUGAAGCUGAAAUGCUGUGUCUGUGUUUGGGUCGGGUUUGCACCUUGGUGAGUGUCGGGAUGGGUUUUAAUGCAGUGCAGCGGAGGGCCUCGCCUCAGUGUCUUGUAUUGUGUUUUGACCCGUGAGCAUAGACCUUUGGUUUUCCUAUAGCCUACUGAAGUAACUGAUUUUUCCUGCAAGUGGAAUGGAAUUGAAUUCUUCUUUGGCGCAUAAUCUGUUCUGCUCCUAGAGUUUUCUUCCUGCGUAAAUAAAAGUCUGAGCUAAA